This 253-nucleotide ribosomal RNA is filed under the name uncultured bacterium. RNAcentral describes it as "partial 16S ribosomal RNA". It matches the Rfam family "Bacterial small subunit ribosomal RNA", at positions 524 to 776 of the family's 1533-position model. The record is from RNAcentral.
GACAGAGGGUGCGAGCGUUAAUCGGAAUUACUGGGCGUAAAGGGUGCGUAGGCGGUUUAAUAAGUUAGAUGUGAAAGCCCUGGGCUUAACCUAGGAAUUGCAUUUGAUACUGUUAGGCUAGAGUGCAGUAGAGGGGAGUGGAAUUUCCGGAGUAGCGGUGAAAUGCGUAGAUAUCGGAAGGAACACCAGUGGCGAAGGCGACUCUCUGGACUGUUACUGACGCUGAGGCGCGAAAGCGUGGGGAGCAAACAGG